RNAcentral lists this transfer RNA (74 nucleotides) under Paramuricea clavata. RNAcentral describes it as "tRNA-Thr". It matches the Rfam family "tRNA". From Rfam's summary of the family: Transfer RNA (tRNA) molecules are approximately 80 nucleotides in length. Their secondary structure includes four short double-helical elements and three loops (D, anti-codon, and T loops). Further hydrogen bonds mediate the characteristic L-shaped molecular structure. tRNAs have two regions of fundamental functional importance: the anti-codon, which is responsible for specific mRNA codon recognition, and the 3' end, to which the tRNAs corresponding amino acid is attached (by aminoacyl-tRNA synthetases). tRNAs cope with the degeneracy of the genetic code in two manners: having more than one tRNA (with a specific anti-codon) for a particular amino acid; and 'wobble' base-pairing, i.e. permitting non-standard base-pairing at the 3rd anti-codon position. Lineage: Eukaryota; Metazoa; Cnidaria; Anthozoa; Malacalcyonacea; Plexauridae. The record is from RNAcentral.
GACCACGUUGGCUCAGUUGGCAGAGCAUUGGGCUAGUAUUCCAAAGGUCGUAGGUUCGAUUCCCACCGUGGUCA